AUUGAACGCUGGCGGCAGGCCUAACACAUGCAAGUCGAGCGGAUGAGAAGAGCUUGCUCUUCGAUUCAGCGGCGGACGGGUGAGUAAUGCCUAGGAAUCUGCCUGAUAGUGGGGGACAACGUUUCGAAAGGAACGCUAAUACCGCAUACGCCCUACGGGGAAAGGGGGGAUCGCAAGACCUCUCGCUAUCAGAUGAGCCC
This 200-nucleotide ribosomal RNA is filed under the name uncultured bacterium. RNAcentral describes it as "partial 16S ribosomal RNA". It matches the Rfam family "Bacterial small subunit ribosomal RNA", at positions 30 to 232 of the family's 1533-position model. The record is from RNAcentral.